UUUAUUUACAUAACAGAUUAAAACGUCCUGUUUGUAAGUAACAUUUCUUAAACACACAUAAAACAGGGUAAAAAUCUACUAACAUACAAACUUACGUUUAUAUAUAAAGAACUGAAGCAUUAGAUCUGUAAAAAGAUACCAUACCGCUUUGCUUAUAAGAAAAAUCUACGCAAAUCCCGUUGAAACGCAAAAGCAAACAUACGGCAAAUUCUGACAUUUCACUAACAAAUAAAAAAGCCCAGCACAAUCAAGCAAAUUUUUAAUUUUGCAUGGUAACCUAAAAAUUUACGAUGACAACCAUCAUUUACGUUUCGAUUUUUCUCUUGAUAUGCUUACGCGCAUUGCAUGGUGCUAACAUUGAUCAUUUAAAAAAAUAUGGAUAUAAUUGUUACUACAAAAAUGAAAAUGAAGAAAUUCCUGUUGAAUGCGAUCCUGGGCAAGCUUGUUAUGCAAUCAUUUCAAUUCAGCACAGAAAUUCCACAUGGAAAAUAAACAAUAAUUCCUUGGGAUGUUGGGAUAUGCAAUCUCAUUGCACUAAAGACAUGUGUUCUGUAGAUCUUCCGAACUUUAUAUGGGUAAAUCAUAAUUUUCCAAGGUUUUGUUGUUGCACUGGAGACUUUUGCAAUAAAAAUAUUAAACUAACAUGAAAUUUAUCUGAAAUAAAAAUGAAUUCGUUUAUUAUAAAAUUUGUAUUUACAAAGAUUUAAUUAGUAAAAAAUGUUCAUGCUACGUAUUGUUAACUUAUGGCAUCUCAAAUGGUUUCAUUCUUUAAUAGAAUGUGCACAACUUACGCAAUAUAGUGAACAACUUACGCAAUAUAGUGACAACUUGUAGAAGGGUGUCGCUAACAAAGAAGAAUUUCAGUCGUUAUUAUUUUUUUAUGAGAUUGCUACAAUGUUUUUUUUAAUAUUAUAUUAUGCAAAUAAUAUUAUUAAUAAAGAA
Hydra vulgaris (swiftwater hydra) is the source of this 942-nucleotide long non-coding RNA. RefSeq lists it as uncharacterized. NCBI's taxonomy places the organism in Eukaryota, Metazoa, Cnidaria, Hydrozoa, Anthoathecata, Hydridae. The record is from RefSeq and is a predicted model, not a curated record.